This 800-nucleotide ribosomal RNA is filed under the name Arthrobacter sp. JSM 2145006. RNAcentral's name for it is "bacterial SSU rRNA". It matches the Rfam family "Bacterial small subunit ribosomal RNA", at positions 39 to 830 of the family's 1533-position model. The record is from RNAcentral. Lineage: Bacteria; Bacillati; Actinomycetota; Actinomycetes; Micrococcales; Micrococcaceae.
GGGGCGUGUGGUGGAUGCACAUGCAGUCGAGCGGGGAAGGGUAGCUUGCUACCUGACCUAGCGGCGGACGGGUGAGUAAUGCUUAGGAAUCUGCCUAUUAGUGGGGGACAACAUUCCGAAAGGAAUGCUAAUACCGCAUACGCCCUACGGGGGAAAGCAGGGGAUCUUCGGACCUUGCGCUAAUAGAUGAGCCUAAGUCAGAUUAGCUAGUUGGUGGGGUAAAGGCCUACCAAGGCGACGAUCUGUAGCGGGUCUGAGAGGAUGAUCCGCCACACUGGGACUGAGACACGGCCCAGACUCCUACGGGAGGCAGCAGUGGGGAAUAUUGGACAAUGGGCGAAAGCCUGAUCCAGCCAUGCCGCGUGUGUGAAGAAGGCCUUUUGGUUGUAAAGCACUUUAAGCGAGGAGGAGGCUACCGAGAUUAAUACCCUUGGAUAGUGGACGUUACUCGCAGAAUAAGCACCGGCUAACUCUGUGCCAGCAGCCGCGGUAAUACAGAGGGUGCGAGCGUUAAUCGGAUUUACUGGGCGUAAAGCGUGCGUAGGCGGCUUUUUAAGUCGGAUGUGAAAUCCCUGAGCUUAACUUAGGAAUUGCAUUCGAUACUGGGAAGCUAGAGUAUGGGAGAGGAUGGUAGAAUUCCAGGUGUAGCGGUGAAAUGCGUAGAGAUCUGGAGGAAUACCGAUGGCGAAGGCAGCCAUCUGGCCUAAUACUGACGCUGAGGUACGAAAGCAUGGGGAGCAAACAGGAUUAGAUACCCUGGUAGUCCAUGCCGUAAACGAUGUCUACUAGCCGUUGGGGCC